Molecule: transfer RNA, 73 nt
Filed under: uncultured Synechococcus sp.
Lineage: Bacteria; Bacillati; Cyanobacteriota; Cyanophyceae; Synechococcales; Synechococcaceae
Description: tRNA-Ala
Rfam family: tRNA
About the family: Transfer RNA (tRNA) molecules are approximately 80 nucleotides in length. Their secondary structure includes four short double-helical elements and three loops (D, anti-codon, and T loops). Further hydrogen bonds mediate the characteristic L-shaped molecular structure. tRNAs have two regions of fundamental functional importance: the anti-codon, which is responsible for specific mRNA codon recognition, and the 3' end, to which the tRNAs corresponding amino acid is attached (by aminoacyl-tRNA synthetases). tRNAs cope with the degeneracy of the genetic code in two manners: having more than one tRNA (with a specific anti-codon) for a particular amino acid; and 'wobble' base-pairing, i.e. permitting non-standard base-pairing at the 3rd anti-codon position.
Source: RNAcentral
GGGGGUUUAGCUCAGGUGGUAGAGCGCCUGCUUUGCUAGCAGGAUGUCAAGAAUUCGAGUCUCUUAACCUCCC